UGCAGGCAGAUGUUACUGAUAUGCGCGUGCAAUUUGUCAUUGCCGAUUGCCGUUUUCCUUUAAUAUCGUCCCACGUGUGGAAGGCUAUUGCAUUUCUUCUUCAACACCGGAAUCCAGAUUUCAUUUAGUUUCAUGCCGUCCUCCACCUUAUUGAAAUUUGUUGCGGUGUUUUACAUUUUCUAUAGCCUCUCUGUACAGUCUUUCGUGGUAUCUAUUUGUGGCUGCAAAAAACCUGAGUCUUAUCAAAUUGCAUAAGGUGGUCCCCUGGUUGAAAAACGUGUUCAGGAACAGCUGAUCUGUCAAUCUCGCCCCUUCUACAAUUCCCUUUGUGCUCUUCUUGUGGUACCCAUGUAUACGUCUUCACAGCUACACGGAAUCCUAUAAAUUCCUGCU
This 393-nucleotide long non-coding RNA is filed under the name Locusta migratoria (migratory locust). Its description in RNAcentral is "partial Lnc04573". The record is from RNAcentral. Lineage: Eukaryota; Metazoa; Arthropoda; Insecta; Orthoptera; Acrididae.